Pleuronectes platessa (European plaice) is the source of this 564-nucleotide long non-coding RNA. RefSeq lists it as uncharacterized. NCBI's taxonomy places the organism in Eukaryota, Metazoa, Chordata, Actinopteri, Pleuronectiformes, Pleuronectidae. The record is from RefSeq and is a predicted model, not a curated record. The transcript has 4 exons.
GUCGUAAAAACCCUAUUUGUAAACAACCAGUCCUUUUAACUCGGGGCUGCGUCAUAAACACGGCGCGCUUGGAAGACCACGAUGUCAUCUUCCUUCUGUCAGGAGGAUCCAAGUGAAGCUACAGGAGUUUCAUUAACGUCAACAACUUGGACCGAACGGUUUGUUUUGCUUGAUGAAGAGCAGGAAGGGCAGCCUGGAGAGAAAGAGAAGCCGGGUUGAGCCCACUACCAUCAUCCACGUACCACGAGGAAGAUGAGGGAGAGAAAUGAUCCUACCAUUAAAGAGACUGUGAAAAGAACGUUGAGAACAUCACCACUCUACAGGAAGACACAGUCCAGUAAUGGGUGUCAGAAUUUCAGUAGUGAACGACAGAAACAAACAAUCAAAAUUACCUGCAGAACACCCUUGAUGGACGCUUCAGCUGCAUCGUCAGACUGGCCAGACAGCAAGAUGCCAACUUUAAUGCCAAUUUAUUUGUGUAACAUUCUGUGACCAAAUGUAUAGAUAACUUUUUGUAGAUUGUAAAAAAGAUAACCCAUUUAUUAAAAAAAAACUACACUAGAA